This is a long non-coding RNA of Triticum aestivum (bread wheat), 250 nucleotides long. RefSeq lists it as uncharacterized. The record is from RefSeq and is a predicted model, not a curated record. The transcript is spliced from 3 exons. Lineage: Eukaryota; Viridiplantae; Streptophyta; Magnoliopsida; Poales; Poaceae.
GGAUCGAUGACCAUUUUGUUAAAUUAACAAAGAUAAUUGUUGCAUGUAACUGCUGUUGUGUCUUCACCAGUUCCAAAUACACGGAGUUGGCUCAAUUGUACGAGAAGUACAAGGACCUGGGUUUUGAGAAUUGAGAUCUUUGAUUUCCCAUGCAACCAGUUUGGUGGGUAGGUACCAGCUGGUACUGAUGAGGAAUAUUUGCGCUCCUGCAGAAGACAGAGGCGAAGAUGUCGUUAUUUGCAGAUGUCAU